UCGGGUAUGGUGUAACGGCUAACAUUGCCGCCUCUCAUAACGCAAUACGGCAAGUUCGGAGUGUCGCGGCAGCUCGGGGUUCGAUUCCCCGUACCCGAA
Molecule: non-coding RNA, 99 nt
Organism: Lyophyllum atratum
Lineage: Eukaryota; Fungi; Basidiomycota; Agaricomycetes; Agaricales; Lyophyllaceae
Source: the annotation of a GenBank genome assembly